This 87-nucleotide transfer RNA is filed under the name Caudoviricetes sp. Its description in RNAcentral is "tRNA-Ser". It matches the Rfam family "tRNA". Rfam says of the family: Transfer RNA (tRNA) molecules are approximately 80 nucleotides in length. The record is from RNAcentral. Lineage: Duplodnaviria; Heunggongvirae; Uroviricota; Caudoviricetes.
GGUGGGAUACCCAAGUACGGUAAAGGGGCUGUUUUGCUAAAACAGUAGAGGCUACGGCCUGCGUAGGUUCAAAUCCUACUCCUACCG